UUCCUACGGGGGGCAGCAGUGGGGAAUAUUGCACAAUGGGGGAAACCCUGAUGCAGCGACGCCGCGUGAGUGAAGAAGUAUUUCGGUAUGUAAAGCUCUAUCAGCAGGGAAGAAAAUGACGGUACCUGACUAAGAAGCCCCGGCUAACUACGUGCCAGCAGCCGCGGUAAUACGUAGGAUGCGAGCGUUAUCCGGAUUUAUUGGGUUUAAAGGGUGCGCAGGCGGGCUGUUAAGCCGGCGGUAAAAAUUCAGGGCUCAACCCUGUCUAGCCGUCGGAACUGGCAGCCUUGAGUGGGCGAGAAGUA
RNAcentral lists this ribosomal RNA (305 nucleotides) under uncultured bacterium. Its description in RNAcentral is "bacterial SSU rRNA". It matches the Rfam family "Bacterial small subunit ribosomal RNA", at positions 336 to 659 of the family's 1533-position model. The record is from RNAcentral.